This 446-nucleotide ribosomal RNA is filed under the name Typhlodromus pyri. RNAcentral describes it as "partial 16S ribosomal RNA". The record is from RNAcentral. Lineage: Eukaryota; Metazoa; Arthropoda; Arachnida; Mesostigmata; Phytoseiidae.
UGAGCAAUCUUAAUUGCUAAAGUAUUCUAACUUUACUAAGGUAUUGUAAUAAGAUUUUAAUUGAAUGCUAAAAGAAUGGAUUAAUACAAGAUUUAUUUUAUUUAAUUUAAAAUUAAAAUUUUAUUUAAAAAUUAAAAAGUUUUUAUACAUUUGAGGGACAAGAAGACCCUAUGAAUUUUAAUUUAUUAGUCUAUCAAUAAAAUAUAAUAAAUUAAUAAAUUUAAUUGGGGCAAUUAAAAUAUAUUAAAAAACUUUAAUUUUAAGGUUUUUUAUAAACAUUAAUAAAAAAAUACUCUAGGGAUAACAGCGUUAUUAUUUUUGAAAGCUCAUAUUGAUAAAAUAGUUUACGACCUCGAUGUUGAAUUAAUAUGUCUAAAAAAAGAAGAAUUUUUUUAAGAAAGAUUGCUCAUCUUUUUAUAUAUUACGUGAUCUGAGUUCAGACCGGA